Molecule: ribosomal RNA, 133 nt
Filed under: Leptospira sp.
Lineage: Bacteria; Pseudomonadati; Spirochaetota; Leptospiria; Leptospirales; Leptospiraceae
Description: partial 23S ribosomal RNA
Rfam family: Bacterial large subunit ribosomal RNA
Source: RNAcentral
AUAAGUGGGAAGCCCACCUGAAGAUAAGAUCUCCCUGAAGAGUCCGGGCAGACGACCCGGUUGAUAGGUCACAGGUGUAAGUUCAGUAAUGGAUUCAGCCAAGUGAUACUAAUCGCUCGAUUGGCUUGACCAU